RNAcentral lists this ribosomal RNA (433 nucleotides) under uncultured bacterium. RNAcentral's name for it is "partial 16S ribosomal RNA". It matches the Rfam family "Bacterial small subunit ribosomal RNA", at positions 29 to 507 of the family's 1533-position model. The record is from RNAcentral.
AACGAACGCUGGCGGCAUGCCUAACACAUGCAAGUCGAACGAGACCUUCGGGUCUAGUGGCGCACGGGUGCGUAACGCGUAGGAACCUGCCCUUAGGUUCGGAAUAACUCCCCGAAAGGGGUGCUAAUACCGGCUAAUGUCUUCGGACCAAAGAUUUAUCGCCUUUGGAUGAGCCCGCGAUGGAUUAGCUAGUUGUUAGGGUAAAAGCCUACUAAGGCGACGGUCGAUAGCUGGUAUGAGAGGAUGAUCAGCCACACUGGGACUGAGACACGGCCCAGAAUCCUACGAGAGGGAGCAGUAGGGAAUAUUGGACAAUGAGCGAAAGCCUGAUCCAGCAAUGCCGCGUGAGUGAUGAAGGCCUUAGGGUUGUAAAGCUAUUUUACCCGUGAUGAUAAUGACAGAACCGGGAGAAUAAGCUCCGGCUAACUCCGUG